UUUAUGGAGAGUUUGAUCCUGGCUCAGGAUGAACGCUGGCGGCGUGCCUAAUACAUGCAAGUCGAGCGAACGGACGAGAAGCUUGCUUCUCUGAUGUUAGCGGCGGACGGGUGAGUAACACGUGGAUAACCUACCUAUAAGACUGGGAUAACUUCGGGAAACCGGAGCUAAUACCGGAUAAUAUUUUGAACCGCAUGGUUCAAAAGUGAAAGACGGUCUUGCUGUCACUUAUAGAUGGAUCCGCGCUGCAUUAGCUAGUUGGUAAGGUAACGGCUUACCAAGGCAACGAUGCAUAGCCGACCUGAGAGGGUGAUCGGCCACACUGGAACUGAGACACGGUCCAGACUCCUACGGGAGGCAGCAGUAGGGAAUCUUCCGCAAUGGGCGAAAGCCUGACGGAGCAACGCCGCGUGAGUGAUGAAGGUCUUCGGAUCGUAAAACUCUGUUAUUAGGGAAGAACAUAUGUGUAAGUAACUGUGCACAUCUUGACGGUACCUAAUCAGAAAGCCACGGCUAACUACGUGCCAGCAGCCGCGGUAAUACGUAGGUGGCAAGCGUUAUCCGGAAUUAUUGGGCGUAAAGCGCGCGUAGGCGGUUUUUUAAGUCUGAUGUGAAAGCCCACGGCUCAACCGUGGAGGGUCAUUGGAAACUGGAAAACUUGAGUGCAGAAGAGGAAAGUGGAAUUCCAUGUGUAGCGGUGAAAUGCGCAGAGAUAUGGAGGAACACCAGUGGCGAAGGCGACUUUCUGGUCUGUAACUGACGCUGAUGUGCGAAAGCGUGGGGAUCAAACAGGAUUAGAUACCCUGGUAGUCCACGCCGUAAACGAUGAGUGCUAAGUGUUAGGGGGUUUCCGCCCCUUAGUGCUGCAGCUAACGCAUUAAGCACUCCGCCUGGGGAGUACGACCGCAAGGUUGAAACUCAAAGGAAUUGACGGGGACCCGCACAAGCGGUGGAGCAUGUGGUUUAAUUCGAAGCAACGCGAAGAACCUUACCAAAUCUUGACAUCCUUUGACAACUCUAGAGAUAGAGCUUUCCCCUUCGGGGGACAAAGUGACAGGUGGUGCAUGGUUGUCGUCAGCUCGUGUCGUGAGAUGUUGGGUUAAGUCCCGCAACGAGCGCAACCCUUAAGCUUAGUUGCCAUCAUUAAGUUGGGCACUCUAAGUUGACUGCCGGUGACAAACCGGAGGAAGGUGGGGAUGACGUCAAAUCAUCAUGCCCCUUAUGAUUUGGGCUACACACGUGCUACAAUGGACAAUACAAAGGGC
Molecule: ribosomal RNA, 1265 nt
Filed under: Staphylococcus aureus
Lineage: Bacteria; Bacillati; Bacillota; Bacilli; Caryophanales; Staphylococcaceae
Description: bacterial SSU rRNA
Rfam family: Bacterial small subunit ribosomal RNA
Source: RNAcentral